Molecule: ribosomal RNA, 250 nt
Filed under: uncultured bacterium
Lineage: Bacteria
Description: partial 16S ribosomal RNA
Rfam family: Bacterial small subunit ribosomal RNA
Source: RNAcentral
UACGUAGGGCGCAAGCGUUGUCCGGAAUUAUUGGGCGUAAAGAGCUCGUAGGCGGUUUGUCACGUCUGCUGUGAAAUCCCGAGGCUCAACCUCGGGCCUGCAGUGGGUACGGGCAGACUAGAGUGCGGUAGGGGAGACUGGAAUUCCUGGUGUAACGGUGAAAUGUGUAGAUAUCAGGAGGAACACCAAUGGCGAAGGCAGGUCUCUGGGCCGUAACUGACGCUGAGGAGCGAAAGCGUGGGGAGCGAAC